This 312-nucleotide long non-coding RNA is filed under the name Mytilus galloprovincialis (Mediterranean mussel). The record is from RNAcentral. Lineage: Eukaryota; Metazoa; Mollusca; Bivalvia; Mytilida; Mytilidae.
CUUUAACUUCAUCAAAAAACUACCUUGACCAAAAACUUUAACCUGAACUUUGCACUAUCAUUUUCUAUGUUCAGUGGACCAUGAAAUUGGGGUCAAAACUAUAAUUUGGCAUUAAAAUUAGAAAGAUCAUAUCAUGGGGAACAUGUGUAUUAAGUUUCAAGUUGAUUGGACUUCAGCUUCAUCAAAAACUACCUCGACCAAAAACUUUAACCGGACGGACGAACGAGGCACAGACGGACGGACGGACGAACAGAGGCACAGACCAGAAAACAUAAUGCCCCUCUACUAUCGUAGGUGGGGCAUAAAAAUAUG